Molecule: long non-coding RNA, 2804 nt
Organism: Triticum aestivum (bread wheat)
Lineage: Eukaryota; Viridiplantae; Streptophyta; Magnoliopsida; Poales; Poaceae
Exons: 5
Source: RefSeq, a predicted model, not a curated record
CCAAGGUCCACUAAGCUCCCAGCCCCCAGCAACCAACCCCACCGGCUCUCCUCCUCUGCUCUCCUCCCGGCGAAACAUGCUUUGCGGCGGCUUGGCCGGCGCUUGAAUCGCCGGCGACGCAGCGAUGGAAGAAGCCGGGCUCGAGUUCUUACUUGAUGCCUUAGACCGGGUUUCCCUAAGGGAAGAAAGCGAAUCCGGGAAGGCAAGAUGAACGUAAUGAUGCUUCUGGGUGCGGGCAACAUGUUGGAGGAGAUACAGCUGCUGAGCCAAACUGGGGCGAACGACGGCGGCGAGAAUCUAUCGCCCACUGCAUCAGCGUGAUCUACUGGCAGGGUUAACCCAGAGGCACCUGGGUGGACAAAAAGGUUAUGCCUGUGGAGCACACCUUCGGAUAGGAUGCCUUGCCCUUCACGUAUGAGUGCAUUUGAGCAGACAAUCCAGAAAUAUGCCGAAGAGCCAACAAGAAGCGUAAUAUUGCCAGAACUGGGGCUGGGUUUUGCUUCGCUGGGUGAGGUAUAUGACUUCUAAAAUCUGUAUUCAGGGGAGAUUGGAUUUGGAAUUCGGUAUGGCAAAAGCAGACUAAAUGCUGAGGAGGACGAAGUCAAUGCUGAAAAUCAUCUAUGGCUGCUCGGUGUGUCCUGAAACCUGCCUGAUUUUCACAUUAUACCUUUGCUGGCACAAGAUAAGAACAUGAUCUGCUAUAUGGUUGUGAUUCAGAGAACUGUUUUUUUUUGUGUAAUCUGCGUGCAGGGGAAGCCAGAAGCUGAGAACAGCAGAUCUUGCAGUUGUGAAUGCCUUGUAUUGGUGCGGCUUUUGUGGGCAGCUGAUAGCAUCUGGUACAUCACAGAGCACCGUGAGGGACAAAACCACUCCAUGUCUCUGACGAUGGGGGAAAAGAUGCACUGGCCAUCACACAAGCACAUUGACGUGUAUACUAACGAUUUGAUCAAAAACAACUUAGGGAAAACAAUGUCAGUCUUGGUAAAGUGUACAACCUCAUAUGGAGUUUUAUCGGGACUGUCAAGAAUGUGCCGUUCACAAAAAGAAUGCUCAGGAACAUAUGUGGUAAGAUGAGUCGCGAGCAAGCUGAUGAUUUGUGAGAAAAAUCUUGGAGGUUUUGCAGACAUAUUGGCUGAUGACCCAGGCUUCACAUACCAUGUGCUGGCAAAAAGCGAUAGCAAAGUAAAGAAUUUGAUGUGGACAAAUGGGAGUAGUCAGAUGCAGUAGCAGUUCUUUGGGGAUUUGGUAACAUUCAACAUGACCUACAGAACCAACUUACAUGACAUGCCUUUUGGUCUAUUUGUUGGGGUAAACAAUCAUUUCCAGAUCAUUAUCCUAGCACGUGUCCUGAUGAGAGAUGAGCAGGUUGAAAGUUUUGAAUUGGUUUUCGCUGAGUUCCUGUGGAUGAUGGGAGGUCCUGCACCUCGAACAAUACUAACAGGUAAACAUAGCUUCCCAAGUAGUAAAGCAUUUUGCAAAAAAUGCACUCUGGUCUAACUAUGAUGUGCACUUUGUACAUACCAAAAAAGAGCUAUGGAGGUGGCGAUCCGCAAGGUGUACCUUGAUAUUGUGCACCGGUGGUGCAAGUGGCACGUGCUAGAGAAGGCGAAAGAAACCUUGGGGCCACUGUACAGGAAAAAGAAUGACUUCCAGGCAGAGUUCCAUAAGGUUGUGAAUCACAUGCUAACUAAAGUUGAGUUUGAGACAGCUUGGAACAUGCUGGUUGAUAAGUAUAAUUUGAGAAACCAUCCUUACAUGAACCAGAUCUAUGAAAUACGCCCGAAGUGGACAAAACCAUACUUCAAAGGGGUGUCUGUGGCAAAAUGACAAGUACACACGGCAUUGAGAGUGCAAACCACAUGUUCAAGUCUUACAUGCCGCCUGCGAGCCCAAUGCACAUUUUCGUGAGAUAGUACAUGAGACUUCAGUUUUGACCGUGAGCGGGAAGAAAGUUACGAGGAGAAGAGGACUAUGAUUGGUGAGCUUGUUAGGAGAAUAGAUCUGGCAAUAUAGCGGCAUGCGAGCAAAAUAUACACAAGGGCAAUGUUUGAAUAGUUCGGCUGUCUGCUAAUUGAGGGUACAUCAUAUAACGUUAUGGAGGUUGAGAAGAUGAGGAAAUGUGUGUCAACACACAAUAAUCCAUCAAAACGCAAUAAGUGGAGUGGGGUUGUUUAUGAGGUAAUCAUCACAGAGGACGGGUCAGAGUUCAUUUGUGAGUGUGGUCAGUUUGAGCACAUGGGGAUGCUAUGCUGCCACGUGUUGCGGGUAAUAGAUAUGCUUCACCUGGAGGAAAUACCGCUGAAACACAUAAUGAAGCGGUGGAUGAGAGAUGAAAGGGGCAUACUUCUUGAGCACCUAUCCCACUACCAGAAGGACAAUGCGGUAAACAUGUCUUUCACUUGCAGGCAUUCGACUUUGUACGCGCAAGCUAUGGAAUUUGUGCGGAUGGGGUAUGCCAGCGCUGAAUUUUUCCACCACAUGUCAGCUGGUCUGAAAGCCUUGAUUGCUAGUGGGGUGCCUUUCAGUGAGCAUUUGCUCCACGCUUGUUCCUCUUAGUUGAACGGUUGUUGCAUUUACAGUGUUGUUCAGAAAAAUGUGUUGUUGUACAACAAUAAAUUGUCCGUGUUGAGUGUUUUUGAAAAUACAGCGUUGUAGAAAUGUAUGGAAAAUUUGCUCUGGCAUGCCUGAUGUGGACUAGCGUCCAUGAUAUUGUUGUGAACACACCUGUCAUUUGUUGGUGCUGGCCAUGAUGUCCAACCUCUCCUGCUUAGCCAGUGUGUGCACCAUGGGUUUCAAAUUUUGAA